RNAcentral lists this unclassified non-coding RNA (1135 nucleotides) under Hevea brasiliensis (rubber tree). Lineage: Eukaryota; Viridiplantae; Streptophyta; Magnoliopsida; Malpighiales; Euphorbiaceae. The record is from RNAcentral.
AACAACAACCGACGGAGGAAGAAGAAAGCUUGCCUAUUGUCUGAUCAUGGCUGCUCAACAUCAUCCAUUUCUUGAUUCGCCAUCUUCCCAUCAGAUUAUUGGUUCUUUUUUUUCUUCUUCAUUCUCUAUAUGAUGAUCAAUGGAUUUGUUUUUUUCAUUCUUUAAUCUUUAUUCAUCUCAUUCAUUUUCUUUCCAUCUGACUAAAUACAUUUCUCAGUUUUCUUGUGGUUCAUCUGAUCAGACAAGUUCAUCAGUUUAUUCUUUUAAUUUUUUUUAAUCAUCAGACUUGUUUUUGAAGAAUUUUGAAGUUUCUGUACAAGAUAUAUCUAUCAUCAUCAUGUUUAGUGCUGCAAUAUUAGUUUUGGUUUUCUUGUCGACUAAAGAAUUAUCCAUUUUUAAUCUAAUGCUUGAAGCACUGCGUAUUGAUGGUUCUGCUUCACUACCGUUGGAUCUACUUCUGACCACGAAUAGAAGAAAUAGGCGAUCCUCUGUGAAAUCCAUUAAUGCAGGAGGAUUAAUACACCAUGAUUUGGUAGAGGCUCCUAGAGCUGGGAUAAUUGACAAGGAUGAUGAGAAAGCUUCUUCAAUAGCAAUUAUUGAAGCAGCUCUUAUAAAAUUGAGAAAUGAUAUUGCCAUUGCUUUCAGGGUGUUUAGCCUGGACAAGAGGAACUUGAACUUGAAAACAUUCACGUUCUUUGAUGCUGUGGAGGAACACUAUAAAUGUUUUUCCAGAUUUUCUGACAAGAAGCAAAGGGCUAUUCUCUUCCUAUGGUGGGAUGACAAGCCAAAGAAAAAGAUGAGUCUCCAGAAACAGGAGCCAAGAGUAGUCCAAUUGUUCAAAUAGACACUUUGUUCGCAGGAAUUGAUGGUGGGCUUGUCAAGGGUGCAUUGGCAAAUAUGGAUACCCUUUUCCACAUGUAAUGAUGUAGAGUCAGGGAGCACAGAGCAAAGAAAAGGCUACAAUUACUGUGGCCGUGUGCUCCUCCAAGAUUCAACAUUCUUGCAUUUGUGGUGACAGAUACUCGAGAGUUCCCCUAUGAAACUUCAUUUGUGUGAUCAUUGGAUUGGAGGCUGCAUUUCGGCCUAUCAAUCUCUUACAUAUCUCAAUUUCUGUUGUUAUUAUUAUUAUUAUUAU